AAAUAGUGUAGAGAAUAUAGUUGCUCUAUAUAAAGAGUCAAUCUGCAAAAAUCUAUAUUUUUUUAGUCAAUUAUAGAGUAGGGUUGUAGAUGUCCUGACGACUAAAAAUUUUUAGGAGUAUGUUUCUCUUAUUGGCAGCUAGCCUAUCUCUGGGAAACGGAAAAGUACGAAGUAGU
This 176-nucleotide small RNA is filed under the name Arabidopsis thaliana (thale cress). RNAcentral describes it as "ATSL026440". The record is from RNAcentral. Lineage: Eukaryota; Viridiplantae; Streptophyta; Magnoliopsida; Brassicales; Brassicaceae.